Molecule: ribosomal RNA, 216 nt
Filed under: Glomeromycotina sp.
Lineage: Eukaryota; Fungi; Glomeromycota
Description: partial small subunit ribosomal RNA
Rfam family: Eukaryotic small subunit ribosomal RNA (bases 40-216)
Source: RNAcentral
GGGUCAGUAGGUUCGUCGUGCCACCGGUACGUACUGGUCUCACUGAUUCCUCCUUCCUGAAGAACCGUAAUGCCAUUAAUUUGGUGUUGCGGGGAAACAGGACUGUUACUUUGAAAAAAUUAGAGUGUUUAAAGCAAGCUAACGCAUGAAUACAUUAGCAUGGAAUAAUGAAAUAGGACGAUCGAUCCUAUUUUGUUGGUUUCUAGGAUUGACGUA